GACAGAGGGGGCAAGCGUUGCUCGGAAUCACUGGGCGUAAAGGGCGCGUAGGCGGUCUGUCAAGUCAGUCGUGAAAUCUCUCGGCUCAACCGAGAAACGUCGGCUGAUACUGCCGUUCUUGAGGGAUGCAGAGGAGACUGGAAUUCCCGGUGUAGCGGUGAAAUGUGUAGAGAUCGGGAGGAACACCGGUGGCGAAGGCGGGUCUCUGGGCAUUUCCUGACGCUGAGGCGCGAAAGCGUGGGGAGCAAACGGG
This 253-nucleotide ribosomal RNA is filed under the name uncultured bacterium. Its description in RNAcentral is "partial 16S ribosomal RNA". It matches the Rfam family "Bacterial small subunit ribosomal RNA", at positions 524 to 776 of the family's 1533-position model. The record is from RNAcentral.